UCGGGAAUUUUGGGCAAUGGGCGAAAGCCUGACCCAGCAACGCCGCGUGAAGGAUGAAGUAUUUCGGUAUGUAAACUUCGAAAGAAUAGGAAGAAUAAAUGACGGUACUAUUUAUAAGGUCCGGCUAACUCUGUGCCAGCAGCCGCGGUAAGACAGAGGGUGCAAGCGUUGUUCGGAAUCAUUGGGCGUAAAGAGUUGCGUAGGCGGUUAGUAAAGUGAAUAGUGAAACCUGGUGGCUCAACCAUACAGACUAUUAUUCAAACUCACUAACUCGAGAAUGGUAGAGGUAACUGGAAUUUCUUGUGUAGGAGUGAAAUCCGUAGAUAUAAGAAGGAACACCAAUGGCGUAGGCAGGUUACUGGACCAUUUCUGACGCUGAGGCACGAAAGCGUGGGGAGCGAACCGGAUUAGAUACCCCGGUAGUCCCUGAGCGGGCUGGCAAGGCGCAU
This 449-nucleotide ribosomal RNA is filed under the name uncultured bacterium. RNAcentral describes it as "bacterial SSU rRNA". It matches the Rfam family "Bacterial small subunit ribosomal RNA", at positions 355 to 825 of the family's 1533-position model. The record is from RNAcentral.